This 497-nucleotide ribosomal RNA is filed under the name uncultured bacterium. RNAcentral's name for it is "partial 16S ribosomal RNA". It matches the Rfam family "Bacterial small subunit ribosomal RNA", at positions 28 to 507 of the family's 1533-position model. The record is from RNAcentral.
GAUGAACGCUGGCGGCGUGCCUAAUACAUGCAAGUCGAGCGAACAGACGAGGAGCUUGCUCCUCUGACGUUAGCGGCGGACGGGUGAGUAACACGUGGAUAACCUACCUUUAAGACUGGGAUAACUUCGGGAAACCGGAGCUAAUACCGGAUAAUAUAUUGAACCGCAUGGUUCAAUAGUGAAAGACGGUUUUGCUGUCACUUAUAGAUGGAUCCGCGCCGCAUUAGCUAGUUGGUAAGGUAACGGCUUACCAAGGCGACGAUGCGUAGCCGACCUGAGAGGGUGAUCGGCCACACUGGAACUGAGACACGGUCCAGACUCCUACGGGAGGCAGCAGUAGGGAAUCUUCCGCAAUGGGCGAAAGCCUGACGGAGCAACGCCGCGUGAGUGAUGAAGGUCUUCGGAUCGUAAAACUCUGUUAUUAGGGAAGAACAAAUGUGUAAGUAACUAUGCACGUCUUGACGGUACCUAACCAGAAAGCCACGGCUAACUACGUG